AUUGAACGCUGGCGGCAUGCCUUACACAUGCAAGUCGAACGGCAGCAUAGGAGCUUGCUCCUGAUGGCGAGUGGCGAACGGGUGAGUAAUAUAUCGGAACGUGCCCUAGAGUGGGGGAUAACUAGUCGAAAGACUAGCUAAUACCGCAUACGAUCUACGGAGGAAAGUGGGGGAUCGCAAGACCUCAUGCUCCUGGAGCGGCCGAUAUCUGAUUAGCUAGUUGGUGGGGUAAAAGCCUACCAAGGCAACGAUCAGUAGCUGGUCUGAGAGGACGACCGCCACACUGGGACUGAGACACGGCCCAGACUCCUACGGGAGGCAGCAGUGGGGAAUUUUGGACAAUGGGGGCAACCCUGAUCCAGCAAUGCCGCGUGAGUGAAGAAGGCCUUCGGGUUGUAAAGCUCUUUUGUCAGGGAAGAAACGGUAGUAGCGAAUAACUACUACUAAUGACGGCACCUGAAGAAUAAGCACCGGCUAACUACGUGCCAGCCGCCGCAGUAA
Molecule: ribosomal RNA, 501 nt
Filed under: uncultured bacterium
Lineage: Bacteria
Description: partial 16S ribosomal RNA
Rfam family: Bacterial small subunit ribosomal RNA
Source: RNAcentral